GACGAACGCUGGCGGCGUGCCUAAUACAUGCAAGUCGAACGCUGAAACGAGGAGCUUGCUCUUCUUGCAUUAGUUGCGAACGGGUGAGUAACGCGUAGGUAACCUGCCUUUUAGCGGGGGAUAACUAUUGGAAACGAUAGCUAAUACCGCAUAACAAUGGAUAACACAUGUCAUUUUUUUGAAAGGGGCAAUUGCUCCACUACAAGAUGGACCUGCGUUGUAUUAGCUAGUAGGUGAGGUAAUGGCCAACCUAGGCGACGAUACAUAGCCGACCUGAGAGGGUGAUCGGCCACACUGGGACUGAGACACGGCCCAGACUCCUACGGGAGGCAGCAGUAGGGAAUCUUCCGCAAUGGGGGGAAACCUGGCCGAGCAACGCCGCGUGAGUGAAGAAGGUUUUCGGAUCGUAAAGCUCUGUUGUAAGUCAAGAACGGGUGUGGGAGUGGAAAGUUCACACUGUGACGGUAGCUUACCAGAAAGGGACGGCUAACUACGUG
RNAcentral lists this ribosomal RNA (497 nucleotides) under uncultured bacterium. Its description in RNAcentral is "partial 16S ribosomal RNA". It matches the Rfam family "Bacterial small subunit ribosomal RNA", at positions 28 to 507 of the family's 1533-position model. The record is from RNAcentral.